This 259-nucleotide long non-coding RNA is filed under the name Lathyrus oleraceus (garden pea). Its description in RNAcentral is "Pisum sativum (pea) long non-coding RNA (PSAT_LNC030432)". Lineage: Eukaryota; Viridiplantae; Streptophyta; Magnoliopsida; Fabales; Fabaceae. The record is from RNAcentral.
AAUCCUUGAAUGCUCUGUGGGGAAUGAUCCGUCUGCCGGGACCAAUGAGCCACCAAAAAUAAAUUGGCUGCUUGAAAAGUUGACCUUGCGGGGGGGAGUAUCAACUAUGGAAACUUUGUUCGGCGAGGCUCUGUGAGGAGAGUCUGUGGGGAAAACACUUCCUGGGGAAAUGUCGUAGGAAACGACCUCUGCUGGGGAUGAGAUGAACACUGGGAACACCACCCUCUUGUCCGUUGGGUAUGCAACCACUCCGCUGUUG